RNAcentral lists this ribosomal RNA (792 nucleotides) under uncultured bacterium. RNAcentral describes it as "bacterial SSU rRNA". It matches the Rfam family "Bacterial small subunit ribosomal RNA", at positions 67 to 870 of the family's 1533-position model. The record is from RNAcentral.
CUUAAUCUUUAGUUACUAUAGAAGCGGUUAGUGGCGGACUGGUGAGUAACGCGUAAGCAAUCUGCCUAUUAGAGGGGGAUAACAGUGAGAAAUCACUGCUAAUACCGCAUAAGCUGUGAAUAUCGCAUGAUAUAAAUAGAAAAGGAGUAAUCCACUGAUAGAUGAGCUUGCGUCUGAUUAGUUAGUUGGUGAGGUAACGGCCCACCAAGACGAUGAUCAGUAGCCGGACUGAGAGGUUAAACGGCCACAUUGGGACUGAGAUACGGCCCAGACUCCUACGGGAGGCAGCAGUCGGGAAUAUUGCGCAAUGGAGGAAACUCUGACGCAGUGACGCCGCGUGCAGGAAGAAGGUUUUCGGAUUGUAAACUGCUUUAGACAGGGAAGAAAGAAACGACGGUACCUGUAGAAUAAGCUCCGGCUAACUACGUGCCAGCAGCCGCGGUAAUACGUAGGGAGCAAGCGUUAUCCGGAUUUAUUGGGUGUAAAGGGUGCGUAGACGGGUAUACAAGUUAGUAGUGAAAUCCCUCGGCUUAACUGAGGAACUGCUACUAAAACUAUAUAUCUUGAGUACUGGAGGGGAAAGCGGAAUUCCUAGUGUAGCGGUGAAAUGCGUAGAUAUUAGGAAGAACACCGGUGGCGAAGGCGGCUUUCUGGACAGAAACUGACGUUGAGGCACGAAAGUGUGGGGAGCAAACAGGAUUAGAUACCCUGGUAGUCCACACCGUAAACGAUGGAUACUAGGUGUAGGUGGUGAUGAAUCAUCUGUGCCGUCGCAAACGCAAUAAGUAUCCC